Molecule: long non-coding RNA, 2391 nt
Organism: Musa acuminata AAA Group (dessert banana)
Lineage: Eukaryota; Viridiplantae; Streptophyta; Magnoliopsida; Zingiberales; Musaceae
Exons: 3
Source: RefSeq, a predicted model, not a curated record
AAUUCCAUUUUAUUCUCGUUCGAGCUAUCUCUGCACUUGCGGGCACGUCGUACUGAAGCACGAGAAGUUCUCGUCGAAUUCGACUCAUCUUCUACAUCGGGAAGAAAUCUGUGUCAAUCCAUCCUUACUAGGCGUAUUGAGACCGCUCAAUUCGUGGGCUUACCCUUCGACAAAAGGUCGGUAAGAAAGGAUCAUUAACCCUAGAAUAGCAAAGGAUGAGCUCUUGGUAAACUAAUUUGGCCUUCUUUAUGGCUGAUGCUGAAGUUUCAUCAGUUUGAUCGUUUUGGAUCGAAGAAUUUAUAGAAAAUUCGCCGGUUGUCUCAAUCUCCGGCAUUUAAAUCAGAAAUCUAGGUUUGGCAUAUUCUCUAGGUGUCGGUGAUUGGAUCAUUUUUCUUGUUCAAAACCCUAGGAUCUUCUUUCUACUUCUGAAAGAAAACCCUUUAUUUGUUUGUUCGUAUCUCUUGAUUGCUAGUUGGUUGCAAUCUCUAUUUCACCCGAAAAGUUGGUAUUUUUCUACCAAAAGCUACCACCUUCCUUAUUGAGUUGGUUACUGUGAUGGGUUGGACGUGAUGAUUAGAAAUGAUGCAGGUAUCGACUGGGACCAUACCAAGUGGGAGCAACUUCUCUAUUUGAACUGCUUCAAUGUCCAAAAAAGGGUUUCAGAAGCUAGAGUGUUUGAAUUUAUUGUCUAGACGCACUGAUGAUAGUGUGUUGGCUGUUUUGAAAGAAGUGGGGCCGGUAAUUAUUGGUUUUGGUUGCCUUAGAUUUGUUGAAGCUGGUUAUUUCGAGAAACUGAGCUGCCCAAGCAGUUGGGUGUUUUUUUGGGAUUUUCAGGAGAGUCAGGCAUAUGUUUGUUGAUUCGGGGUCAUACCUGUGCUUGUUUCAUUAAUAAAGGAGGGUAAUUCCUCAGUAAUGCUCUCAUGAUAAUUUCUAGUCUUGUUUACUACCUCAGACCUGUAGCUCAAGCUGGUGCAAUCCUGUUGUAUGUGGAGCUGCACAAAGGACCUGAACCCCUUGGAAAAGAAAUUGCUGAAUAUGUUUUUUGUGUAUCGGCUCUAGAGAGGAGAAUGCUGUGAUGUAUCAGAAAAGAUGGUGAGGAUUCUUGAGGCUGAUGCCGAGAAGGCAAAAGCUGCAGCUUCAUAUGUUCUGUGGGAUCUUUCAAGGUACAGUCCAUUUCUGUUUUCAAAUAAUUGGGUGUAAUUCCAGUUCUGGUUGAGCUUUCCCAGAAUACAGAUGGUGAUCUUAGGGAGAAGCCAUCUCGUGCUACUACAUGACUAAACUAUUAUGCAGCAAACAGGGAUACCAUCUUGUUAGCUGGUGCAAUUCCUGUUCUUAUUGAUCUCUUGAGUGGUGAGCUGGAUGAGAUGAGAGACUGUGCAGCAGAACGUCUGAUUAACUUUGCAGAAGACCCAUUGUAUCGAGUGCAAGUGUCUUAAGCCUUUAUAAUUCAAUCGUUUGUGACCAUCCAAGAUAGAUUAAUUCAAUUCUAGACUACGGAAGAAUGCUCUGUUUGUUAAGAAACAAGUAUGGUGGUGAUCUAUGGAAUUAAUAAGUAAAUACUUCGGAGGGUCUUCUCUAAAUCAAGCUGCCAAUAGUUUGCUGCAAGUAUGAAAGCUUUGCUUGUUCUCGAAUCUUCAGCACAGGGAUGGGACAUGAAAAUGAGUUCUUCAAACCAAGUUUUGUGGUGAAAAACUUGCAAUGAGGAUUAAAGGAGGGCUUCUUGCAGGGAGGGAGGCUUCUGCUUUGGAACUAUACAAGUUGGAAUCUGGAAGUCCUAAAAGUAACUGGCAGCUGAUAUCCGACAUCAAGAGACGAACCAAUACAACAGGAUUAGGAGAAGAAGACAUGUUAUGCAUCAUGUCAGGCCCCAUCGAAGAUGCAGAUGGUUCAAGUGUCAUGUAAGAGAUCUGUUCUUAUAUGCAGAAAUUUUUCUCGUUUCUUUCUGCAAGACUGGCCAAACAGAAGGAAUCUCCUUAAAAGAAUUCGACGGUUCAUGAGCUAACAACGAUACAGCAAUCCAUCCUUGUGCUGGUUGUGACUCCAUGGUCAGCAGUUGGUGCAGCUUUCAUGAUCAACAGUAUCACCACCACCAGGAACAUCAAGGACAGCAAGAACGACAGCGUGCACUUGCAGCUCUUAGUGGGUCGCCCAGGCUCAAUAUCUACCGUGGAGAAGUAGACAGUUUGUGAGACUGCAAUAAUGCACUGAGCCAUGCAUACCUUGUCGAAUUCAUGGAUGAAGUUUUCUUUGGAUGUAGCCAAUGGCUGGACUCUGUUCGACAUCGCUGCUUUUCACGACUGAAACAUGCAGUCAGUUCAACAUUAUUGUGGGCUUCUAUUUGUUCCACUCUGCUGUGUCUGAUCCAUGCAUGAAAGAAGUUAUGCUUUUACA